RNAcentral lists this non-coding RNA (45 nucleotides) under Echinostoma caproni. The record is from RNAcentral. Lineage: Eukaryota; Metazoa; Platyhelminthes; Trematoda; Plagiorchiida; Echinostomatidae.
GCUUUGCUGACGGGUGCCAAACAGGACGAAACAAGUGUCCAGUGC